Lathyrus oleraceus (garden pea) is the source of this 834-nucleotide long non-coding RNA. RefSeq lists it as uncharacterized. The record is from RefSeq and is a predicted model, not a curated record. The transcript is spliced from 2 exons. Lineage: Eukaryota; Viridiplantae; Streptophyta; Magnoliopsida; Fabales; Fabaceae.
UGCAAUUUGCUUCUCUCCCCAUCAUCAAAAUGUAUCACUAUCUCUUCAAAGGAAAAUGGCUCACCUCUCAAAAUAAAUCAUACGUAAACGAAAAAAAAAUCAGAAACACUUUCUACCUCUUCUUCAUUUUUUUUCGUUUCCUUUAAUUAUUUAGCAACAACAAUGUUCCAUACAAAUUAUCAAUAAGAAAAUCCAACUCAACAAUCAGUUAUCAACAAUAAGCAAUUGGUAGCAACAACAUCAUUUGAAGCAAAAAAAUCAAGAACCCUAGUGAAUCAACUCAAGAAUUUACAUCAUAUUAAUGUGUCAUUUCAAGGGGGUUUUAUUUCGCCAUGAUGUAUAAGAGAUUUGAAUGGAAGAAAAAUGAUAAAAAAGUAUUGUAUAGGAGCUUUGAGUUUUCUGGAUUUCGGUGACUUUUCUAGUGGAUCUCCAACAAUACACGGGUCUCUACAGAGGCAUUUAUAAAGAAUUUUGAGGGAAAGGAAUCAGCUGGAAAUUUGGAUAGGAAUGAAAUAAAUUUGUUAGAAGGAUCCUUGAUUUUAUAUAAGUGAGUGAGAUUUGGAGGAACAACGCGUGAAGAAAAAUCAUUUAACAUGUGAAGGUCUUUUGAUCAGAUAUUUUUUUGUGUAUUUUUGUCCUCUUGUGUAUUGUAAUUUUCUUCUUUUUUUUUACUGGUGUGGUGAGUUAAUGUUCUAUUGUAACAAUUUGUAUGUAUGUUUCUCUUCUUCUUUUUUUACUGAUGUGUUUUGGUAAUCUAGCACCUUGUAACCUUUGGGUAAUAAGUUUUUUGUCUUUGCUGAUAUAAAUCGAUGCAAAAAAGAAACUCAUUUUUAA